UUGCACCGAUCCUUUUCCAAAAGAUUUUUCUCCGAGAAUUACAGCGCGUUUAUGGUCCUGCAAAGCACCUGCCAAAAUUUCUGAAGCGGAAGCUGAACCGUCGUUGAUAAUAACGACAAUAGGCAGUCCUUGAGCUAUAUCUCCGGCGGUUGCGCUGUAUUUUAAAGUGUCUUCUUCAUUGCGGGAACGUGUUGAAACAAUCUCGCCUCUAUCAAGAAAUAAAUCCGAAAUGGCAACGGCCUGAUCAAGCAAUCCUCCCGGAUUGUUACGA
This 271-nucleotide non-coding RNA is filed under the name pig gut metagenome. Its description in RNAcentral is "Rickettsia sRNA47". It matches the Rfam family "Rickettsia sRNA47", at positions 41 to 316 of the family's 316-position model. The record is from RNAcentral.